This 476-nucleotide ribosomal RNA is filed under the name uncultured organism. Its description in RNAcentral is "partial 16S ribosomal RNA". It matches the Rfam family "Bacterial small subunit ribosomal RNA", at positions 330 to 799 of the family's 1533-position model. The record is from RNAcentral.
CGUACACUCCUGCGGGAGGCAGCAGUGGGGAAUAUUGCACAAUGGGCGCAAGCCUGAUGCAGCCAUGCCGCGUGUAUGAAGAAGGCCUUCGGGUUGUAAAGUACUUUCAGCGGGGAGGAAGGCGAUAAGGUUGAUAACCUUGUUGAUUGACGUUACCCGCAGAAGAAGCACCGGCUAACUCCGUGCCAGCAGCCGCGGUAAUACGGAGGGUGCAAGCGUUAAUCGGAAUUACUGGGCGUAAAGCGCACGCAGGCGGUCUGUCAAGUCAUGUGAAAUCCCCGGGCUCAACCUGGGAACUGCAUUCGAAACUGGCAGGCUAGAGUCUUGUAGAGGGGGGUAGAAUUCCAGGUGUAGCGGUGAAAUGCGUAGAGAUCUGGAGGAAUACCGGUGGCGAAGGCGGCCCCCUGGACAAAGACUGACGCUCAGGUGCGAAAGCGUGGGGAGCAAACAGGAUUAGAAACCCUGGUAGUCCCAUG